CUUAAACCCAGGUCUGGAGAGAGGACACCUCCGGAACAGAGGCUAAGUAAAACAUCCCCACAUCUUCACAGGCCCAAGGUCACAGCCUGGUUGUCCAGUGACAGUGCCGAAUGCCUCAGAGCCACUGUGUCUGAGUCUGAGUGUCCUGGUCGCAGAGAGCCCAGCUGAGAGGUCAGGCGUCGAGCGAGUAGGUGCCAUGGUGUGGGAUACCGUCAUGUCUGCCUGGUGAGAAAAUGGACCCAAUUUAAUGGAUAUCAAUCAACAAAGAGGUAUACAGACGAGGAGGCAUAGAAAGGUAUUGGUAUGUUAUGCAGAUCACAUUUACCAUCCUCCUCCCUUACCUCUUCAAUAAAAAUCACAUAGGCCUCUACAUUAUGGACAAGACUUCACCCUCCCUACACCUCUGAUUAAUAUAACAGGAAACCUGUUUGAUCACCAUGUACUGCAAAAUCAUUCUGGCUAUGGAUACGGAGAACAUCAACACAUUAACAUCAACACGUCAGAGGAUAAACCGAUUGGACUUGGGGCUCUGCUGGGAGUUUACCUCAUACUUAGAUUUUCUAUUCUGCUUUGCCACUAAAAUCAUAAUAAACA
This 594-nucleotide long non-coding RNA is filed under the name Salmo salar (Atlantic salmon). RNAcentral's name for it is "lncRNA (ENSSSAG00000098026.1)". Lineage: Eukaryota; Metazoa; Chordata; Actinopteri; Salmoniformes; Salmonidae. The record is from RNAcentral.